GUGGGUAGUUUGACUGGGGCGGUCUCCUCCUAAAGAGUAACGGAGGAGCACGAAGGUUGGCUAAUCCUGGUCGGACAUCAGGAGGUUAGUGCAAUGGCAUAAGCCAGCUUGACUGCGAGCGUGACGGCGCGAGCAGGUGCGAAAGCAGGUCAUAGUGAUCCGGUGGUUCUGAAUGGAAGGGCCAUCGCUCAACGGAUAAAAGGUACUCCGGGGAUAACAGGCUGAUACCGCCCAAGAGUUCAUAUCGACGGCGGUGUUUGGCACCUCGAUGUCGGCUCAUCACAUCCUGGGGCUGAAGUAGGUCCCAAGGGUAUGGCUGUUCGCCAUUUAAAGUGGUACGCGAGCUGGGUUUAGAACGUCGUGAGACAGUUCGGUCCCUAUCUGCCGUGGGCGCUGGAGAACUGAGGGGGGCUGCUCCUAGUACGAGAGGACCGGAGUGGACGCAUCACUGGUGUUCGGGUUGUCAUGCCAAUGGCACUGCCCGGUAGCUAAAUGCGGAAGAGAUAAGUGCUGAAAGCAUCUAAGCACGAAACUUGCCCCGAGAUGAGUUCUCCCUGAGACUUUAGGUCUCCUGAAGGAACGUUGAAGACGACGACGUUGAUAGGCCGGGUGUGUAAGCGCAGCGAUGCGUUGAGUUAACCGGUACUAAUGAACCGUGAGGCUUAACCUUACAACGCCGAAG
Molecule: ribosomal RNA, 682 nt
Filed under: Salmonella enterica
Lineage: Bacteria; Pseudomonadati; Pseudomonadota; Gammaproteobacteria; Enterobacterales; Enterobacteriaceae
Description: partial 23S ribosomal RNA
Rfam family: Bacterial large subunit ribosomal RNA
Source: RNAcentral